Non-coding RNA from Meriones unguiculatus (Mongolian gerbil), 492 nucleotides. NCBI's taxonomy places the organism in Eukaryota, Metazoa, Chordata, Mammalia, Rodentia, Muridae. The record is from the annotation of a RefSeq genome assembly.
AAAAAGCAUCAGACAGGCUGGGGCACCAAGAUGGAGUCACAGACCCAGUUCUUCAUAUUCCUGCUCCUCUGGAUGUCUGGUGCUGAGGGGAACAUUGUGAUGACUCAGUCUCCCAAAGUUAUGUCCACAUCUGUUGGAGACAGGAUCACCCUAAGCUGCAAGUCCAGUCAGAGUGUGGGUAGCUAUGUAAAUUGGUACCAACAGACACCAGGGCAGCCUCCUAAACUGCUAAUCUACUAUGCAUCCAAUCGAUACACUGGAGUCCCUGAUUGCUUCACAGGGAGUGGAUCUGGGACAGAUUUCACUCUCAGCAUCAGCAGUGUGCAGGCUGAAGACCUGGCAGUUUAUUACUGUCUGCAGUAUGACAGCUAUCCUCCCACAGUGCUUCAUCCUCCAACACAAACCUCCUUGAGAGUCUCGCCAGCUGCCUACAGCACACACAGCCCUUGGCCUGCACACUUCCCCCUUCUGCCUGAGAUCUGCUAUGCAUGA